RNAcentral lists this ribosomal RNA (207 nucleotides) under uncultured bacterium. RNAcentral's name for it is "partial 16S ribosomal RNA". It matches the Rfam family "Bacterial small subunit ribosomal RNA", at positions 568 to 774 of the family's 1533-position model. The record is from RNAcentral.
CGCGCAGGCGGCUUGGCAAGUCGGGUGUGAAAUCCCGGGGCUCAACCCCGGGACUGCAUUCGAUACUGUCAGGCUAGAGGUAGGUAGGGGAGAUCGGAAUUCCUGGUGUAGCGGUGAAAUGUGCAGAUAUCAGGAGGAACACCGGUGGCGAAGGCGGAUCUCUGGGCCUUACCUGACGCUCAGGCGCGAAAGCUAGGGGAGCGAACA